UGGGUAACCUGCCUCUUGCUCUGGGAUAACUCCGGGAAACCGGGGCUAAUACCGGAUAUUCAUUUCUGGCCGCAUGGCUGGUUGUGGAAAGUUUUUCGGCGAGAGAUGGACCCGCGGCCUAUCAGCUUGUUGGUGGGUGAUGGCCUACCAAGGCGACGACGGGUAGCCGGCCUGAGAGGGCGACCGGCCACACUGGGACUGAGACACGGCCCAGACUCCUACGGGAAGCA
RNAcentral lists this ribosomal RNA (230 nucleotides) under uncultured bacterium. Its description in RNAcentral is "partial 16S ribosomal RNA". It matches the Rfam family "Bacterial small subunit ribosomal RNA", at positions 118 to 350 of the family's 1533-position model. The record is from RNAcentral.